CUGCUGCCUUCCGUAGGAGUUUGGGCCGUGUCUCAGUCCCAAUGUGGCCGUCCACCCUCUCAGGCCGGCUACUGAUCGUCGCUUUGGUAGGCCGUUACCCUGCCAACUGGCUAAUCAGACGCGGGCCCAUCUUAUACCACCGGAGUUUUUCACCCUGGGCCAUGCGGCCCUGGGCGCUUAUGCGGUCUUAGCACCUAUUUCUAAGUGUUAUCCCCCUGUAUAAGGCAGGUUACCCACGCGUUACUCACCCGUCCGCCACUAAAGUAAAAAUUG
This 273-nucleotide ribosomal RNA is filed under the name uncultured bacterium. Its description in RNAcentral is "partial 16S ribosomal RNA". The record is from RNAcentral.